This 264-nucleotide ribosomal RNA is filed under the name uncultured bacterium. RNAcentral describes it as "partial 16S ribosomal RNA". It matches the Rfam family "Bacterial small subunit ribosomal RNA", at positions 89 to 354 of the family's 1533-position model. The record is from RNAcentral.
UGGCGACCGGCGCACGGGUGAGUAACACGUAUCCAACCUGCCGAUGACUCGGGGAUAGCCUUUCGAAAGAAAGAUUAAUACCCGAUGACAUAGUUCUUCCGCAUGGUAGAACUAUUAAAGAAUUUCGGUCAUCGAUGGGGAUGCGUUCCAUUAGCUUGUUGGCGGGGUAACGGCCCACCAAGGCAUCGAUGGAUAGGGGUUCUGAGAGGAAGGUCCCCCACAUUGGAACUGAGACACGGUCCAAACUCCUACGGGAGGCAGCAG